This 208-nucleotide unclassified non-coding RNA is filed under the name uncultured fungus. RNAcentral's name for it is "sequence contains ITS1". The record is from RNAcentral. Lineage: Eukaryota; Fungi.
UUAAUUCAUUGAAUUUUUGCUCAGACUACACUGAUAUUCGAGUUUAAAGGUCCAUUGCCCUAGAGGCCGGCAGAGAGCGACACGGGGUUUCCCCACACAUCGGUCAGCCAACAUAAGGCAAGGCAACUAGUGGUUUACAACAAAGGGUUGGAGGUUGGACUUUCAUCCUUUCUCUUUAAUGAUCCUUCCGCAGGUUCACCUACGGAAA